RNAcentral lists this unclassified non-coding RNA (252 nucleotides) under Hevea brasiliensis (rubber tree). Lineage: Eukaryota; Viridiplantae; Streptophyta; Magnoliopsida; Malpighiales; Euphorbiaceae. The record is from RNAcentral.
GGGAAUCAUAGAAUUGAGUGGAAAUUAUUUUGAGAGCAUGCCUGAGAGCAUUAAACAACUUCCUAAGCUGAUAGUAUGAGUUUUUAGGGCAUCUUUCGAUUUCAUUGUAAGGUGACUUGUGUCCCACAUUAAAAGUAUGAGAUUUCGUACGAUGAGACAUGUACCCCACAUUAAAAGUAGGAGAUUUCAAUAUGAGAAAUAUAUGGACUUAAAUUCUCCAACCUCAGCAAACAACUACUUUUUGGAGUGUGU